Molecule: non-coding RNA, 90 nt
Organism: Echria macrotheca
Lineage: Eukaryota; Fungi; Ascomycota; Sordariomycetes; Sordariales; Schizotheciaceae
Source: the annotation of a GenBank genome assembly
UCGGGUAUGGUGUAGCGGUAACAUCGCUGACUCUCAUGGCGUAGCCUUGAUCUGUCUCAGCAGCCCGGGGUUCGACUCCCCGUAUCCGAG